Non-coding RNA from Umbelopsis sp. AD052, 83 nucleotides. Lineage: Eukaryota; Fungi; Mucoromycota; Umbelopsidomycetes; Umbelopsidales; Umbelopsidaceae. The record is from the annotation of a GenBank genome assembly.
GGUGAGAUGACCGAGUUGGUCUAAGGUGCUAGCUUCAGGUGCUAGUUUCUUCGGAAGCGUGGGUUCGAAUCCCACUCUCAUCA